Molecule: unclassified non-coding RNA, 188 nt
Filed under: fungal sp.
Lineage: Eukaryota; Fungi
Description: partial internal transcribed spacer region
Rfam family: Eukaryotic small subunit ribosomal RNA (bases 1-46)
Source: RNAcentral
AAGUCGUAACAAGGUUUCCGUAGGUGAACCUGCGGAAGGAUCAUUAACAAAGAUUUUUAAAAAAUCUUAGAUCAACCCGUGAAUCACUAUUUUUUAUUUAUUACAUUACCUUUUUAAUUUUAUUUAAUACUUUCUAAACUUAUAAUAAUAAUAUUAUAAAACUUUCAGCAACGGAUCUCUAGGCUCUU